Molecule: ribosomal RNA, 607 nt
Filed under: Saturnispora hagleri
Lineage: Eukaryota; Fungi; Ascomycota; Pichiomycetes; Pichiales; Pichiaceae
Description: LSU rRNA
Rfam family: Eukaryotic large subunit ribosomal RNA
Source: RNAcentral
UAAAUUUGACCUCAAAUCAGGUAGGAAUACCCGCUGAACUUAAGCAUAUCAAUAAGCGGAGGAAAAGAAACCAACAGGGAUUGCCUCAGUAGCGGCGAGUGAAGCGGCAAAAGCUCCACUUUGAAAGCGUUUCGGCGCGUUGUAGUGUGGUUCAGUCUUUGAAUUUGGGGGGAACUAAGUCCUUUGGAACAAGGCGCCAUAGAGGGUGAGAGCCCCGUGAGUUUCCCUUUACUUUAUUCUCCAAGUCUGUACCGAAGAGUCGAGUUGUUUGGGAAUGCAGCUCUAAGUGGGUGGUAAAUUCCAUCUAAGGCUAAAUAUUGGCGAGAGACCGAUAGCGAACAAGUACAGUGAUGGAAAGAUGAAAAGCACUUUGAAAAGAGAGUGAAACAGUACGUGAAAUUGUUGAAAGGGAAGGGUAUUUGGCUCGACAUGGGUCCUGUGCACCGUUGCCUCUUGUAGGCGGCGCUCUGCUGGGGCCUGGGCCAGCAUCAGUUUUCUGGCGGGGAUAAGGCCUUGUGAACUACAUUGUAGGGAUCGGGGCGAUGCCCGCACGGGGGACUGAGGACUGCCGUUUUUGUAGGAUGCUGGCAUAACGGCCAAAUACCGC